Molecule: non-coding RNA, 27 nt
Filed under: Rattus norvegicus (Norway rat)
Lineage: Eukaryota; Metazoa; Chordata; Mammalia; Rodentia; Muridae
Source: RNAcentral
UACCUACCUACCUUCCUUCCCUCUGAG